GGGCGAGUAGCUCAGUCGGUAGAGCACCUGACUUUUAAUCCGGUUGUCGGGGGUUCGAGUCCCCUCUCGCUCA
This 73-nucleotide transfer RNA is filed under the name Eubacteriales bacterium. RNAcentral's name for it is "tRNA-Lys". It matches the Rfam family "tRNA". Rfam says of the family: Transfer RNA (tRNA) molecules are approximately 80 nucleotides in length. Their secondary structure includes four short double-helical elements and three loops (D, anti-codon, and T loops). Further hydrogen bonds mediate the characteristic L-shaped molecular structure. tRNAs have two regions of fundamental functional importance: the anti-codon, which is responsible for specific mRNA codon recognition, and the 3' end, to which the tRNAs corresponding amino acid is attached (by aminoacyl-tRNA synthetases). tRNAs cope with the degeneracy of the genetic code in two manners: having more than one tRNA (with a specific anti-codon) for a particular amino acid; and 'wobble' base-pairing, i.e. permitting non-standard base-pairing at the 3rd anti-codon position. The record is from RNAcentral. Lineage: Bacteria; Bacillati; Bacillota; Clostridia; Eubacteriales.